RNAcentral lists this long non-coding RNA (17674 nucleotides) under Solanum tuberosum (potato). Its description in RNAcentral is "long non-coding RNA (STUB_LNC011929)". The record is from RNAcentral. Lineage: Eukaryota; Viridiplantae; Streptophyta; Magnoliopsida; Solanales; Solanaceae.
AUAGAUUAGAAAAGAGUAGCAAACAAAGUAGUAGUAAUAGACAAGGGUAAUGCAUGCAUUAUUUUUCUAAAUAACGACAACUAAAGGCGAGAAUGGAUAAUAAGUAGCAAGUAGAGGUCAUAGCAUAGAGUCUAUUCUGGCAGGCAAUCUUGUGAAGAAAUUGAGUGGAGCAGAUGGUAGGUUGUGAUGGAACCAUGGAUGUCUUAACACAUAAAAUCCAGUGACAAGAAUCACAACUCGAAAACCCAUGAAAUAGAGAACAAUGACAGCAAUCAAGCAGGAAAUAACAAACAGUUUGGUCGCUCUAGGGUCUCUCCAUGACAGCAAAGAGUCCAGCCUCUCCAGUUGAUUAGCUAUGUCACCAGCCACGUUCUGAAUACUUCCAGCAAUACUUUUCAAACGGUCAUACCUUAUCCGAACAAUAUCAGUUGGACGUAAAGUAGGGAAAGUAUCAAACUCCUCGUCCAGUUCAUCAGGAUGAACAUCAUCAGCACAAGAAAGACGAAUGUCCAUGAAGGGAGGAUGCCUAGGCCUAUAUCUAUAGUUCCAAACUACGAUUAAGGAGAGCGAGAGGAAAAUGGUAGGCAGAAUACACUCCGGAUAUAGAACUAGUAUCAAAUACAAGACAUGGAUCACAAGAGUCGUAAUGGGAUUUUUCCAAUUGCAAAUUUGAUCAAACCAUUUCCAAAUAGCAAUUAAUCCACCUAAAAACAUCCAUAAUUCUUAAAAAGUUGGCUCUGAUUUUCCUCAUACUCCACAUGUCAGACUUGACAUCUAACAUAUACUCCACUAUCUCUUUCCUCAAAGGCGGCUCAGCACGACUCAACCACAUAGAGACCAUCUGACUAGCCUGACGCCUCAAUUUGUCCAUCUUAGUUUGUCUGUCAUUCCAACUACCUUCAACAAUUAGUGGAUGAAUAUAGUGCAUCUUGGGUAACAGCGGCUGAGAGAACAAAUGCAUCAUAUUCAUUAACGAUGAGAAAGUAAACCUAACUGCCAAGUGAAUUUCGCCCAUCUUCUUUACCCCAGUAGAUUCAAAGACCAAUAGCGGAUAAGAAUUUGUGUAGACACAAUCUGUCUCGAGAGCUGAAAGACGGAUCCUGACCUUUCCAAUCCUCGAGUCCCUAGCCCGGCCUCCAGGUUUAUCUCCUCCAUGUAGAUGACAAUUAUCAAAUACACCAAUGGUUAUGACAGUGCAGGGAUCAAAUACUUCCCAAGUGUAUUGCUCGUUCCACCUGGGAGCAAGGCUAUCUAUAAUUGUCCUUGUUCGGGCCCACUUGUGCCCAUAUUUGACAACACAAUAGGCAUUUGUCGAAACCCUCCCAUCCUUUGUUUUCAUCGGCGGUAGUCCCUGAGCAUUCAGAAUACCCAAUUCUAGGACACCAAUGCUGGAUUUCUUCAACUGUUUUGCAGUUGGUCUAAUAUCACCACUGUAGUUUGUUGGUUCAUAAAGAACAUGGUAGCCUCCUUCUAAAACUAGGCUCAUGUGAAUCCUGCUUGCAAAGUUUGUUUCCUUCUCCUUUUCUCCCUCAACAAUAACAUGCUUUUCAAGAUUAUACCACUUGCUGUUCAUAGGUCUGUGGUCCAACCUCCUCUCAAUGUACUGCAAAUGAAUAAGACAUUUUCCAAGUAUUACAUCUUUGUUUGGUGCAACUCUAUCUUCCACGCUCAAAAUCAAUGGCUCCUCAAAUGGUUCUGCUGCUACAAAAAUCAAAUCCUCAUUCCACAUGGGAUUAAUAGUCUUGCUCCUGGAAACUUUGGUUAUCAAUUCCUGAUUUCCGAGGAUGGCCUUCACGUAAACUUCUGGAAACCUACUUCUGUCACUGGAAAUUAAGUCCUGAGCCUCAAUCACAUUAACUCUAAGGUACCACAGCUUUGGUGAGAGGUAAACCUUAGACCUUAUAUUCGCAAGAGCAUCAGCACCACUGACAGUGGCUGCAUCCGAAUGCCAAGAUUCUGCAAAGGCUUCAUCAGCUCGAGUACCCAUCCAAACAGUCAUCAUCAACUCUCCGUUAACUUUGCUACGACUUCCGUCCUCCAAUCUAUACCACAGCGGAACAAAAGGACUAUCCGGGGGGACCCUUUUAGGGAUCUCAUUCAAAUCAAACAUAACACGACCAACAGAAUCAUCCUUAUCUUUCACGUUCACCUCAAGAACGGAAACCUGAGUCUGAUCCAUUGGAAAUGCAAACACCUGCUUCCAUUCAGGAUUCGUUUUCUUCACAAAAUGACGAGUUGUACCACUAUAGUUUCCCAGCCUAACCUCAACGUAAGGAUUAAGAUCCUUCCCAGGUAAAUAUUUCGCCUUCACCACCCGGACAUAAAGAUACUGCAUUUGCUCAACCAAAUCACAGAGCCAAGUAAGCAUAUCACCAGUAAUCUUCCCUUCUACUUCUCCACCACAAUUUAGCCAAAUGUCCAACAGAUAACAAAAAAAAUCCUAAAUAAUAUCUCUGAGGAACAACUCAAAACUACACUAAUACUCAAGAAACUUCAUAUAUAACACAAUCCAAGUUUGUUUUAUCCUAAUUCUAACUUAAGGUUUAAAAAGAACCUCAUGAAGGAUAACCCCAAACUGCCAAAAUCAUUCACAAUCUCAGAUCUGGUUCAGCUGAAUGCUUCACCCUGCAAAACAUUUUUUAAGCUUAAAAAACCAUAUUUAUACAAAUAAGAUAUAGCAAGUACAAUGAAUAAAGUUUAUCAACAAACUCAAAGGUGGUCAGGUGAACACCCUUCACCGAAAAAUUAUAUCGUGUAUAUAAGUAUAAAUUGUUAAAUAUCACACUUUGCGAACAGUUUUGGGCUAAAAUCAUCCUUGAAGUAUAACCCAAACUUAGUAUACAUCCUUAUACUAUAAUUAUGAACAAAAACAUCUUUUAACUAUACCAAACUUGACAACAAACAUCCUUCUGUUAAUUUUUGUUAAAAACCUAAGAGCUGAAAUUAAAAAAAUGUGUCACUGACAAUACUAAGUUGCCUUGUCUUCAAGUUGGAAAUACAAAACAACAAAAAUAUACUUAGGACCUGUUUAGAAGGACACCCUGGUAAUUGGAUUUGGUGUAAUUGAAUGUAAUUACAUUGUCUGUCCUGUUUGGUUGGACAGGUAAUUAGUAGGUCAAUAGGUAAUGGGUGUAAUUGGUAGGGUAAUUACACUCUACAAUUCACAAGCAGAGGUUGUGAAGUGUAAUUACCAGCUGAUUACUUUUUUAAAAAAAAAUUUAUUUCUAUUUUUAUUUUUUUGUUUUAAUUUUUUUACUUCUAUUAUUUUAAGUUUUUAUUUUAUUAUUAUUCUAAAAAAAAUUGAAAAUUUAUUUUUUAUUUUAUAUUAUUAUAUUUCAUUUUCUUCUUGUUCUCAACCUUACUUUACAUGAUUUUAUGCAUUUUUUUCGUAUUAUCUAUUUAUUUAUGCCAUGCUUAUUUUCUCAUUAGCAUAAUUUUAUUAGUAUUCUAAUUUUUAAAUUAAAAUAGAAUUUAUUGUUAAGUAAGGUUAAAGACUUACGUUUUCUUUUUUAAGAAAAAAAUAAAAAUAAAUAUAUUUAUGCAUGCUAUGUUCAAAUUUGCUAUAAGAGUAUCAUGUUAAAUUUUUUGUUUUGAAUUUAUAACUUAUGUUAUAUUUUCAGUUUCAUUUGUUUUAGUAAUAUUGAAUUCAUAUUGCACGUCAUUUUUUAAUUAAACUUGAUAGAUUAUCUUUUUGUCAAACAUUUAAUAAUUUAUGACAUUUUAUUUAUAUAUUAAUCUUUUUUAUCAAACAUGCAUUUCACGAUGUUCGUAGAAACUUCAUACUUGUAGUUUCUACGAUCAAUUCAAUUGAAAUAUAUUAAUUUGAAAAAAAUAAAUCAAUUAUUUUUUCAUAAUAUAGGUUAAAGAAUAUAUGUUUUAUAUCUUAAUUAUUUAAUUUAAUGUCAUUUAUAAAGUUUCUUAUUUGUCUAGUAUCAAUUUUUAAAUAAUUAAUUUUUUAUUUUUUAAAAAUUUAAUAUAAUUUUAUGAUUGCAAUUGUCCAUCCAAACAGAACAUGCGUAAUUACACUGUGGCAUCCAAACAGGACAUGUUACCAUAUAUUGUGGCAACCAAACAAGUCAGUGUAAUUACUAGACAGUGUAAUUAAUAGGAUGGUAAUUACUACCCUAGUAAUUACACCAAUUUCAAUUACCAGGUGGCUUUCCAAACAAACCCUUAGUAAAACAACACCAAAACCAACUGAGGCACACAAAGACAAGUUAUAGAAACCAGCCCUAGCUUCAGUUAUUCUUGAAAACAACUUAUUUGGUUGCUAAAGUUUAGAAGGACAGAAAAUUUUGUUUUUGAAGCCAAAAGCUCUGCUAAAUAUGGAAGAUGAUCCGGUGGGAAUUGAGAGGAAAUCAAUUCGAUAGAAUAUGGAGAUUUUGGGAAGUCACAUAUUUUUAUUUCAACUUUUCGUUUUUUAACAAAAGUUAACACAAGGAUGGUUAUUGCAAAGUUUUGGGUAGGUAAAAUUGUGAAAUUAGGUAUUAGACUUAACUCACACCUCAAAAACUAACAAAAGUUAACAGAAAGAUGGUUAUUGUAAAGUUUUGGAUAGUUAAAAUUGAAGUUUACAGAAGGAUGGUUAUUGCAAAGUUUUGGAUAGUUAAAAUUGUGAAAUUAGGUCUCAGACUUAACUCACACCCCAAAAGGAGGAGGAUUGCACAAGUUGCGUGGGCAAUUUUGGACAAUUUUGUUUUCGGGAAAAUUGUAUAAAAUAAAAAACUAUUAAUUUAAAUUAAAUGUUGUAACCAAAGUUUGAUUUAAUUGUAACCCGUAGCAAACAGUUGUCAUUCGCCUCUCUCCUUAGAUUUCUCGCUCGCCAGUCUCUCCCUCGCCUCUCUCACUUUAUACAAACACAAAUGUAUAAAUUGCGUUUGUGUUUGUAUAAAGCGAGAGAAAACUACAUAUACAAAUACAUAUAUUUUCGUCUUAUACACUUCUAAUUAUACAAAUACAGAUCUUCCUCAGUGCAGUUCUCUUCUGCCUUUCUCUCUUUCUCGCUUUUGUAUAAAGCGAGAGAGAGAGAUUUGAUAAACAAAUGUGUUUUAUUUCGAUUCAAUUGUAUACAAAUUCAAAUUUUAUGCAGAUAUGCAAACACAUAGAAUUGAAUUGAGAGGCUGCCAACGAUUUAUACAAACGAGAGGCUGCCAGCGAUUUAUACAAAUGAGAGGAUGCCAAUGAUACAAAUCUGAUGCUUCAUAGCACUCUAUAGCUACAACUUACAAAUAUAAUUUUUAUAUUUGCUAAUCCUAAAAUUUACUCUUUUUUAUUAUUUUUUUGGGCCCCAACAUAAGGUGAGAUGGGUCCUGCUCUGAUAUCAUGUGAAAUUAGGUUUUAGGCCUAACUCACACCUUAAAAGUUAGCUCAGAGGAAGCAAGAUUGACCAAGCCUUAUAAGUAGUUCAUCCAUCUCAUUAACCACAAAUGUGAGACUUUUUGCUUUUAACAAAAAUAUGUUUUUUUGAUUCGCAAUUAUAGUAUAGGGAUUUAUCCUAAGUUUGGGCUAUAAUUCAAGAGUGAUUUUAGCUUAAAAGUCCCCUUAACAACAAGGUGGUACAUCCCAGUGGUUAAAGGCUCUACGGAAAUGCCCAGACGUAGUGUGAGCGUUAAAUUACUUUCUAAAUAAUAGUUAAUAAAUUCGUUAUUUUUGAAAUAAUUCAAAUUUCAAUGAAUUUGACUUUGACUUUGACUUUCCAUUUCUUUUCAUUAAAAAUUUAAAAUAAAACUUAUACAUAAUUAUUUAAUUUAAAGUUAAUAAGCAACUUCUAAAAAAAUUCUAUAUCAUUGCUAAAAUUGAAUAAAAGAAGACCUCGUUUGAUUCUGCUUCCUUUUUCAUGUUUCGUUGUUAUUGUUGUUUUCAUCAAGGUCGAUGAAAGCUUGAAAUGUAAAAAUGAUUUCAUUUUAAGUUGAAUUUACUCCUACUCCCUCCUUUUAUUUUUCUGCUAUUUUGUUCACUUUAUAUCAAAUUAAACAAAAACAUUAUACAAUUUGAUUUUCAAAAUUUUGGUACGUUUAUUCAUACAAAAAUAUUAUUAUUACGCAGUGUGAAUUUAAAAUUUUUAGUGCACCCAUUCAUCAAAAAAAAAAAUUGCUUAUGUUAUUUUUGAACAUGCUUCAUGAAAUUUCUAAUUCCCCACUUAGCCAACUCAAUCAAAAAAUACCCUUCUCCCAUACCAUAAAAAGAGGGAAAAAAUAAUUAAAACUUGCUAAUCUCAAGAUUAUAGCUCAACAAAUACCAAGAACGUCAAAAAAAAAAAAGAUUUUUCAAAAAGAUAUUUAUAAGUAACUUAUAAAUUCGAAACUAAAAAUUAUAAAUCGGUAACACUUAACUUUUGACCCUUUUUUUGGGGUGUGUUGUCAGCCUUAAAGCUUUUUGCGUUUACAAAUACUUCUAAAACUUAAAAGAAAAAAAAGAAGAAGCUAAAUAUCACUUAAAAUAAGCUAAUUCAUAUACACUUGUUUAAUUUUUCUACAUGAAAUAAAUAAAUAUUAAUUAAGAGAAAUGAAUAUACCUUGAAGGAGGGUUCAUGGGAGGUGAGUGCAAGAUGGUAUUUUUGCUGAUAAGUUUCUAAAGAUUGGAAUUUUGAGUAGAAAAUAACAAUUAGGUUUUGGUUGCUUUUUGGUAUCAAAGUGAGGGAGAAUGGUUAAGAGAGAGAGAAAAAAAGUGAAGAGACAACGAAAAAUUAUAUGAUGGGUUUAACAUGGUAGGUGAGGGAUUAUUUUUUAAUAAAAAAUGUGUGUGCCUAGAAAUAAGUUAUAAAUAAUUUUUUAGAGAUAAAAAACCAUCCUUACCAACGGAUCACUUAUAGUUUCAGAUCUAUACCAAUGCUCUAUCACAAAUUCUCCCAACUGGCGGCGGCAAUCCGGUGGCAAAUCGAUGGUGGACUGGUAAUUUAUGAUUUCAUUAUGUAUUAUUGAGAUGCGAAAUUUUUUGAAUAAGUAUCCUACAUCUAAUUAAAGUGAUGAUUUGGAGUUGAAUAAUUAAAAUUUAAUUACAAACAAAUAAGACUAUUAAACAUAAAAGCAGUAGUUCAUUUUUUCCUAAUUUUGGAUAUAAGAAAAAUAGAAAAUCAUAAUUUUGGAUAUUCUAGAGUCUUUUAGUGAAAGAUAAAAAGUUCAAGUAUUUCUGAGUCUUAGCACUUUUAGUUAUGUGAUUAUAGAAAGAUUUUAAUUAUGAGAUAGAUUUGAUAUGACGGGGAAAUUCUUCAAAUAAGAUAGGUAAAACGCUCUCUUCGAAAGAUACAUACACUACAUCAAAAAUUAUAUUUAGCAACAAUUAGAUAAUGGUAAUAGUUUAAUUGCCGCUACAUAGAUAUAGUUUUAGACACUCUUUGUAAAUGUAUCUAAAGCCUAUAGCGACAUUAGAUCUAAUAAUAAUUAACUAAUGUGAGUAAAGACUUUAACACUCUUUAUUAAUGUGUAUAUUCCGUUAAAAGUAGUUGUUUUUUUUACAGUGAUACUUGUACUGCUUCUACCUCUCAAGGACUUACUAAUAUGUAUAUUUAUUGCGGCUAAAAGUUAUUUUUUGUUGUAUUGAUACUUGUACUGCUUCUGCCUCUCAAGGACUUUAUGCAUUGAACUUCCUUUAUAUCUUUAGUAUAAACAACUAUCUGUUGGUUGCAAUCAGUAUGAAAGCAUCUGAGUUGCUCUCUCCUUCUUCCUCUUUGCAGAAGCAUCACAGAUUCUUUUAGUCACCAACUCACUGAGAGAAGAGAUGAAUUGGGAAAAUUCGCAACGACUUUUCAAUAUUGUAACCAUCCCUAAAAUUUCGAUAGACAAAACUCCAGCUCUUCACACUGGAACGCGAAUUCCACAAAAUUUUCAUUAGCUUGCAGAGAUUCACAGAUGAACCUAACAUGCUAGAUGUCAACUCAGAAAGUCCAAACUCUGUUUGAAGAUGCUGCAUUUAUCCUUUCUCCACUGUACCUAACUGACAACUUUGAUGUCUGUGCCUCUGAGGUGCAAAACAAGAUUUUGUUGAUCAAGAAGGAAAUAAGUGCCAAAUACUCCUUUCCUAAAAUAUCAUUACAACUUUCAGCCAAGUUUGUUAGUGAUAUCAUCCAUUCUGUGCUAGAGAAUAUUGGUGGUCUAGUGAAGAUUCAUGAUCCAUAUUCACCUCUUUAUGUUCCCGAAACAGUAGUGGAACAUAUAGAAGAUGUUUCAAUGGAAUUGAAUUUGCUGCUAAAUUUCGUCUACUUUGUUUCAGAGAGGUUCCUAGAGAAUCAGAGCCAACAUCAUAUUAUUUUCUUCACUCAUGUUUUAGCUGUGUCUGUCCACACAUCGAUGCUUCUCUGGUUGUAUUUACCGGACUUGGAUCCUGAGCAAAUGAAUGUUAUGCUUUCUGAUUUCUUGCGAAUGAGGAUUAAGCCGAUUCAACCAUGCAUCUGCAAGAUCUAUCUUGAUGUCUUGCUAUCAUUAAAGUCGACAAUACAAUCAGGAUGGUAUCCCAACAUCCGAAAUGAGGAUGCAGUUGACAGCGAAGGGGGAUUUUUGGAGUACCAUCCUACACAAUAUGGUGGAGGUACCAACUAAUAGUAACUCUAGUCAGAGAGUUGCUUUGAAGGAUCACUUGGAAAUCCUUCAAAAGAUGCUCAACCUUUUUGAGAGCCAAUAUCUUCCGUGUGCCAAUAAAAGAUCUUGAAUUUCUCUUCGAGAUAUAGAGAUUUGUGGUUAUUGAUUGUUGGACUUCUGGUAUACUCAUUAUAUGAAGAUGAGGAGGAGAAGGAAGACAUGGCACCAGGAGGAGUGAACAUCCCACAAUUUCUUGAUUUGUCAAGCAACAUUCAACGUCUAAGCAUAGACAUCUACCUCACCAUUCGGAAGGCGUUCCAAUCUAAUUUGCCUAGGAUUCAUGGACUAGGCUAUGUUGAUUGCCAUUUAAACAACCUGAAGAAGUUCCAAAUCCUCCACUCAGAUUCACUAGCUUCUGUCAUGGACAAACUUCAAUCAAUUCAGAAGGAAUUUGAGAGCUUGCAACCUUUUCUACAGGCUGUUGCAGAAGAGCGACACAAUGACCUCGACGAAAUUCAACAUUGUGCUACACAAUUGAUUGGCAAAGCACAUGAGGUAGAAUACAUAGUUGAUGCUUGUAUAAGGGAAGAAGCUCCUGUCUGGUGCCUCGAGCAUUGGAUCAUACAUAUCAUGGAGGAGAUUACUCUUAUCAGAGAAGAGGUAGCAGAGAUCCGUGAAAAGAAAAUGGAUUUGGUAGCAUUGAACACUGUCCCAGUUCAUACAUCAAAUUUGGCAAGGUCUCCAAUGAUGAAUGAAGAAAUUAUUGGUUUUGAGGAUGUCAUAGAAAAGUUAAGAGACCAACUAAUAAAAGGCAAGAAAGGGCGCGAUGUUAUGUCAGUUGUUGGUAUGCCAGGUCUAGGCAAGACAACUUUGGCCUACAGACUCUACUAUGACAAGUCAGUCGCUUCGCACUUUGAAAUUCGUGCACAGUGUUGUGUGUCUCAAGUAUAUUCACGUAAGGACUUGUUAAUAGCAAUUUUACGUGAUGCUAUCAGUGAGAACUUUGAGUGUAGAGAAAAACAAGCUGAUGAAUUAGCUGAUCUUCUUCGCAAAACUUUAUUUUCCAAAAGAUAUCUCAUCCUUGUUGAUGAUGUGUGGGAAACUAGUGUGUGGGAUGAUCUAAGAGGUUCUUUCCGUGAUUCCAAUAACGGAAGUAGAAUUAUUCUAACAACGCGGGAUCAUGAAGUUGCCAUGUACACUAAAAUUCGAAGUGAUCCCCUUCUGCUUCGUAUGUUUAACAGUGAUGAAAGUUGGGAGUUACUCCGAAAAAAAGUGUUUGGUGAAGAAAGUUGCUCUCCACUCCUAACAGAAAUUGGGCAACAAAUAGCAAAUAAGUGUGGUCAACUGCCUCUUUCAGUUGUUUUGGUGGCUGGUAUUCUGGCUGAGAUGGAGAAGAAAGUAGAAUGUUGGGAACAAUUGGCCAACAAUUUAGGUCCUCACAUUCACAAAGACUCAAGGACCGUUAUAGAACAAAGUUAUCAGAUUUUACCCUAUCGUUUGAGGCCUUGCUUUCUUUACUUUGGAGCACUUUUAGAGGAUAGUGUGAUUAGUGUUCCAAAGUUAACACAGUUGUGGAUCUCAGAAGGAUUCGUAAAAAGUUGUGAAGGCAAGAGAUUGGAGGAUAUAGCAGAAGGCUAUUUGGAAAAUCUUAUUGGAAGAAAUCUAGUGAUGGGAACCAAGAGGAGUUCUCGUGGUAAGAUCAAAGCAUGUCACAUUCAUGACCUAUUGCAUGAUUUCUGCAAGGAGAGAGCAAAGGACGAUAUGCGUCUCCUAUGGCAAAAAUGGUAAUAUACCAAUCAUUGCUACUCUUUUCACUUAUAUUGACAUUUAAUCAUAUAAUUUUACUAAUUUCUGUAUAUAUUUGCAGGGAUCAAAAUGCCAAUCCGUCUUCUCGCCUUUCUGGUCACAAGCAACUAGCUCAUCGCAUGUGCAUUUAUGGUGAAGGGUAUCGUGCUGGAGAUUGGAGCUCGUGCUUGUCACAUGUUGUCUCUAUAAUUUUGCAUAACAAUCGUCUUUCAGUUGGCCUCGACUCGCACAUUUUCCACAGCUUCAAGUUUCUAAAAGUGUUAGAUAUGGAGUUCACUAGAAUUAGUUCUUUCUCAUUUGAUCUAGUCUACCUCAGGUAUUUUGCUGCAGAAACGUCUCGCUUUUCAAACAAAGCCGGUUGUCGGGAACUUGAAACUCUGAAAUUCAAAUCUCUCAGUGAAAUGUCACUACCCAUUACACUCUGGGAGAUGGAUAAAUUGAGACAUGUGGAUAUUUCCGAUUGCAGCUUCACCAGUGAAAUUUCAAGAGAAUUGAUUGAGAACUCCAAAGACCUUCAUGAUCUGCAAACUCUAUCCACUCCGUGUUUUUCUUGUGCACAGGAAGCGGAAUUGAUUUUGAGAAAAACACCUAAUCUUCUGGAACUGAGAUGCAAAGUCAAGGGUGUUGAUUACUUUCAGCGCUAUGUAUUGAACUUUCCAGCACGGAUUGAAACGCUCAAGAUUCAUCUUAGCUACACACCUGACACUAAAACAAUCCCCUUCCGCAUCUCCGCGCCAACUCUCACAAACUUGACACUGAAGAACUUUUACCUAUAUCAUCAGCAUUUAUCAGAAAUUGGUUCACUUCAGAACCUUCAAGUGCUCAGUCUGAAAGGUAUUUCCUUUAAAACUUAUAAAUGGGAAGUGCGCAAUGACGAGUUCCCUCAGCUCAGAGUCUUGAAAUUACAUGCUGGAAAAGUUCACUUUGAAAAUUGGUCUGUCGCGGAUGAUGCCUUUCCUAACCUUGAACGCUUGGUUUUGAGGGAUUGCAAAUUUCUUAAGGAGAUCCCUUCUUGGUUUGGAGAAAUCUCUUCUCUGAAGUCCAUUGAGGUAAGGAAUUGCAAUAAAAAUGUUGACAAGUCAGCCAGUGAUAUCAGGGAAACACAAGUUGAAGAUUACCAGAAUUCCAAGUUCGAGGUCUUUAUCACCAGAGAGAAUAACAAGUCAGAUUCAGGUACGCAACUCAUAAAAUUUAACUAUGACCAUUCUAAAACUCUGUGAAUUCAUUUCUUCUGUUACUCUAACUUCCUUUUUUAAAGGUAAAAUUCUUGAAAUAGCACCAAGGUUUGAAAUACUAUUGUGCACCUCGACUAAUUCUAUAGGUACCUACUACCUCUAACCGCACAUGUACUAGAUAACUGAUGAUCAAAAGAAAUCAACUAGUGACUUCAGAAGAGACCCAUGAGGUCUCAAGUUCAAAUCCAGUAGAGGCAAAAACACUAUGCGAUGAUGGGGAGAGUUACCAGGUACCUAUGUUGGUGGGAGAAAGCAGGUACCCCUAGAAUUACUCAAAAGUGCGCACAAGCUAGCCCAAAUACCAUGGUUAAUUAUACCAAAAAAAAAAAAAUCAUUGUGCUCUUACUUUCUGUUUGGGUAUGUUAUUGUAGUAGUACAACAUUUUUGAGCAAUUAACUCAUUGGAACCUUUUCUUUUUUAACAGAUUAUGAAGACUAGAGUUGUAUCAGGAGCUGUUUAGAAGAUCAGUAUGUACUUUUUUUAGAAGCUUAAUUAAGAAAUCAUGUACUUUUGGUCUUGAAUGUAUUGAGUAACAUUGAAUCCAUGUUGGACUAUAGUUAUUAUAUGAGCUAUUUAUAAUAUUUCUAAAUUUCUUUUUCUUCUUACGUUAGUCCAUUUACACUCAUCUUUCAUGCUAUGGAGGAAGAACUUUGACGUAACCGGUAAAGUUGUUGUCAUGUAACUAGAAGGUCAUGUACGAGUUCGACAUGUGGAAAAUACCUCUCGCAGAGAGUUUAGUGCAUUAGGCUACCCUAAUUUUGUACUCGUUUUGUAUUCCUUCCAAUGCCUGCUACUCAAACCCUCUAUCCUAUCUCGGGGUCACGUCAAGUAGAUUCCACUUUAGAGAUAAGUUUUUUAUCUUAAUCGAUCAAAAUAGAUUAAGACCGUCAAAAGUUACUUAGUCUCAUUCGAGAAUUUAAUCUCCUUAGUGUGACAAAGAGCCCAUUCAAUAGCAUUUGUGCCAGCUUGAAAGGACGUACUACCAUGAUAUCUAAUGCUCUCUCAAUGUCAAUAGGGACUCAACAACUUUUGGUAAAAUAUAAUAAAAGUAACGUCGAUAAGGAUUCAACGACUUUUUGGUGAAAUAAAAUAUAUAAAAGUAAAGUAACUACUUCCUAAAAUUAUCCAAUUUGUAGACCACAAGUUACCUUUGUCUAUGAACCUUUUUUGUUAACUUUAAUGAGUAAUUCAUUUGUUUAUUUCCCUCUUGUUAUUAAAGCUAAAGAAGUCUGGCAAUAAUUUAUACAACAUUUGGUAUGGUAGAAAAAAAAGUUAUUUAUAUAUAAAAUUAAUACAAGAUUUGGUUGACAAUUUAGUAACCCACAAUCCACAUAACUAAUAUUAUGAGUGAACCUAUAUAUUAUUUUAUGCAUGAUAGAAGGUGGAAUAACUAAUACAUGAAAAACUAAUUCCAUAUAAAAUAAUGGCUUAAGUCAUCAGUGGCCCCUUAAAGUUGUCCGCAUAAUUCACUUAGACACCUCAUCUAAGGCUUGUAUCUAUUGAACACCUCUACCAUUCUGAAUUUGAACCAUUUGAACAUUUUUUUGAGAAUAAGCCAAAAGUAGAAAAUGUGUGAAAUACACUCGCGCUGACAUGUCAAUUUGACUAAUUAUAUACUGACAUGUGUAAUUUUUUAAUCCAAAAAAUUAUUUAAACAUUAUAUUAAAAGUAAAAAAAAAAGGAAAUUAUUUUAAAGUUAAAAAAAAAUGAAAAAAAACUUGAACUUAAACCACCCCACUUCCCCUGCUAUCCACUGAAGCCCAACUCACAUUUCCCUCUACAAUACCACCCCGUUAAUGGCGACCCUCCCUCUCCCUGUACAGUGCCAUCUCCAACACGACAAAUCUUCUUUUCCAUUAGCCUAUUUUUCAAUUAUAACUUUCUUCUUCGUCUCGUUUUAGGUAGAGAAAGAUGGGGAAAAAAAUCUCGCCGGAAAAUUAAUAAGUUCCGAUUGUCAUUGUCGGAAAAAAUGGAGUUAUUUCGAUUUUUUUGUGUUUCAUAAGAACAUCCUUACAUUCUGCCAAUAUACAUCAAUUUAAAGUCAAAACAACACAUUCAGGACAAAUCAAAAAACUUCAAUAAAAAUUUGACCAAAGCAAAUAAUAAAUAAAAAUUUAACACCAAAUUACUAAAUUAACAGCAAAGAGACAGACCCAAAACUUAAAGCACUUUACAAAUUAAACAUGAUGAAAAUGACGGUGAUAAUGGUGGAAUGGUGGUCAGCCAAUCCUAAUAUGGAGGACAACGGAGGAAGGGAUGCCAAAGAAGAUGAAGAAGAAAUAAUAUUUUUUUUCCAAAAAAAAAACGCUCAAUUUAAAACCUUUCACGCGCCUAAAGGGUGUGAAUCACAAACAAUGUGCCACCUAGGCAAAAAAUGUUCAAAUGGAUCAAAUUCAGAAUGGUAGAGGUGUUCAAUAGGUACAAACCUUAGUUGAGGUGUCUAAGUGAAUUAUGCAGACAACUUUAAGGGGCCUCAGAUGACUUAAGUCUAAAAUAAUACAUUGGUUCACUCAUAACUAAUUAAUACAUUACUAAUAUGUACAUAACUCUAACCAGCUACCAAACGAUAAUUGUGUGAGGUAAAUUUGGUUAGUUUUAAUUGACUAUUGAGAUGCCCAUCACAUGUUUGAUAAAAUGCCUGAAAGAGAUUGAAAGCAUGUGUGUGUGUGUCCAUUUGCAUCCCCUUAAUUAAUAUUCAUGUGAUCAAGGGUGUUUGAAAAUUGAAACUGCAGUAUAUAUCUCUAAGAAGUUGUUUUUGAUCGAUAUUCAUAGUAUUAUCUUCUAUAUGCAUAGUAUAAUAUUUCGACAAAGGGUGUUCGAGUGACCACCCUUAGGUCAAUGUAGCUAUGCGAAAAGCAAUAGAUCCCAUGAAUGCUAGAACAUUUGGAAGUUUUAUCAUCCUUAGUAGCUGAAAUCCAUACUGUAUCACUCGUCGAAGCCAGAGAUUGAUCUAAGUAUUCAUUUUUUGAGUGAUUCUAUACUCUUAAUUGUUUAGUUCCUUAUAUUGUGCUCCUUGCAAGUUGAACUAUAAUUAUAUAUAUGAACUGUCUUUAGUAUUUCUAGGCUUUUAUUUUCUUCUUUUAAUAGAUACUCUUCGAUUUGUGAACUAUAAACAUAUUGCAGCACUUUUAUUUACCGUUUUCUUGUGUGAUUAUUCAGAUCUAAUGAUUGUUUGAGCUUCUCUAAUCAGUUUUUUUUCCCUCCGUAGGAGCUCCCACUUUCUUUGCUCCCUUGGUGACUCGAACUCACAACGUUACUAUGGGAAGUGAGGGGUGUUUACCAUCCGAGCAACUCCCUCUUAUCAGUUACAUAUUAAGAAAAGGCUUAAUAGUUCGGGAUCCCCUGAACUUGACACCUUUUGUUCGGUGUACACCUGAACUAUUCUAAAUGGCCUAGUCUCAGCAAGUAGUUCUCUUUAUAGUCAGUCAAAACACUUCCAAGAAUAAAACUCUGUUACUUCCUAGAUUAUAAGUCUAGCUAUCUGAAUAGGGCCCAAGCUGGUUCAUACUUCUUAUCUUAAUAAUAAAGGUGAGUCAUCCUAGGAUUAGCAGUCAGAGAGAGAAUGCUGAGUUCACACGGGACACUAGCUGUUAAUUAAUCGGCUCAACUAAUUAAUCAUGUCAUCAAGUUGCUUUUAGUGUAUAAUAAUGAAUUGUUUAUCUUAUAAUGUGGGCAAUAAUGGAGUAGCAUAUUAAGAUAUAUUAUGCUUUUGUGACUUGAACAAACUUGCCAAUUCAAAAUUGAUUUUUAAGCUUAUGUCAGUGGCCCUACACUUGAGAAACUAGUGUGUUGUACAGUUGAUAAAAUGUUACUUAGCAUGUAAUGUCGUAGUAUCAAACAUCUGAGUUCAAAAUUCAUCACAGAUUCUUUUAGUCACCUACUUUUGAGAGAAGAUGUCUUGGGAACGAAUUCAACAACUUUCCGAUAUGUUAAACUUCCCUAAAACUUCAAUAGAUAGUGUCAUGCUCUUUACACUGGAACGCAAAUUCUGUGAUAUUUUCAUUAGCUUGCAGAGUUUCACAGAUGAACCUAACAUGCUGGAUGUCACUCGGAAAAUCCAAACUCUAUUUCAAGAUGCUGUAUUUGACCUUUCUCCACUGUACCUAACUGAGUACUUUGAUCUCUAUGCCUCUGAGGUUCAAAGCAAGAUUUUAUUGACCAAGAGGGAAAUUAGAGCCAAAUACUCCUUUCCUAAAAUAUCAUUACAACUUCCAGCCAAGUUUGUUAAGGAUAUCAUCCCUUCUGUGCUAGAGAAUAUUGGUGGUCUAGUGAAGAUUCAUGAUCCAUAUUCACCUCUUUAUAUUCCCGAAACAGUAUUGGAACAUAUAGAAGAUGUUUCAAAGGAAUUGAAAUUGCUGCUAAAUUUUGUCUGCUUUGCAGCAGAGAAGUUCAUAGAGCCUCAGAGCCAACAUCAUGUUAAUUUCCUCACUCAUGUUUUAGCUGUGUCCGGCCACAUAUCAACGCUUAUCUGGAUGUAUUUACCAGACUUGGCUCCAGAGCAAAUGAAUGUUAUGCUUUCUGAUUUCUUGCGAAUGAGGAUUAAGCCAAUUCAACCAUGCAUCUGCAAGAUCUAUGUUGAUGUCUUGCUAUCAUUAAAGUCGACAAUACAAUCAGGAUGGUGUACCAACAUCGGAAGUGAGGAUGUAAUUGACAGUGAAGGCAGGUUUUUGGAGACCAUCGUACACAAUUUGGUGGAGGUGCCAACUAAUAGUAACUCUAGUCAGAGAGUUGCUUUGAAGGAUCACUUGGAAAUCCUUCAAAAGAUGCUCAACCUUUUGAGAGCCAAGUUCUUGAUUUGUCACCGAGAGGAGUGAACAUCACACAAGUUCUUGAUUUGUUAAGCAACAUUCAACGUCUAAGCAUAGACAUCUACCUCACCAUUCGGAAGGCGUUCCAAUCUAAUUUGCCUAGGAUUCAUGGACUAGGCUAUGUUGAUUGCCUUUUAAACAACCUGAAGAAGUUCCAAAUCCUCCAGUCAGAUUCACUAGCUUCUGUCAUGGACAAACUUCAAUUACUUCAGAAGGAAUUUGAGAACUUGCAACCUUUUCUACAGGUUGUUGCAGAAGAGCGAAACAAUGACCUCGACGAAAUUCAACGUUGUGCUACACAAUUGAUUGGCAAAGCACAUGAGGUAGAAUACAUAGUUGAUGCUUGUAUAAGCAAAAAAGCUCCUGAACUCCCAUCUUGUUGGUGAGACUUUGAUUCCCCACAUCGUGAUUCUUCCUCAUUUCCCCUUCCCCUACGAAUUUUUUUUAAAAAUAAAAUAAAAAUUUAAACUAACAAUACAGUACAAUAUAAUUGAUAUCAACCAUCCAAACAAGGUGCAACGGGUUGUCUGGUAGCUGUAUGAGAAACAAAUUAUCCAUAUGUUAAUUUUCGUAUAAUUUAUAUGAUGUUUCAUAGGUAGAUAAAUUAUAACUUCGUAUAAUUUAAAGACUAACUUUUGACUCAUAAGUUAAAAAUUAUAACUUGUGAUUUUUUUAACAUUUUACCUUAAAAUCAAUUGCUUAUAAGUACUUUAAUAGUUUACCUAAAUUAACACUUCAAAAGUCGUUAGAUAAAGUGUAUAAGAACAAUGCUAAAUAAAAUGUAUUAGUAAUGCUUGCAUCAAUUAUACAUAGAUUAUUUUCAUGCAUUAAAAAUUUACAAAGAUAUGUUUCACUAUUAUGGUGGAAAAGAUGUAAAAAAAAAAGAAAGAUUUUGAGGGGGCAAUUGAGUGAUUAAUCAUGCUAAUGCAUGCAUUAAAACGAUUGCAUUGCGAAUAUUUAGAAAUUCAUGGUAUUAGCAAUACACAGCUAUACAUAGAUUAGAAAAGAGUAGCAAACAAAGUAGUAGUAAUAGACAAGGGUAAUGCAUGCAUUAUUUUCUAAAUAACGACAACUAAAGGAGAGAAUGGAUAAUAAGUAGCAAGCAGAGCUCAUAGCAUAGAGUCUAUUCUGGUAGGCAAUCUUGUGAAGAAAUUGAGUGGAGCAGAUGGUAGGUUGUGAUGGAACCAUGGAUGUCUUAACACAUAAAAUCCAGUGACAAGAAUCACAACUCGAAAACCCAUGAAAUAGAGAACAAUGACAGCAAUCAAGCAGGAAAUAACAAACAGUUUGGUCACUCUAGGGUCUCUCCAUG